AACGUAGGAAGCAAACGUUAUCCGGAAUUAUUGGGCGUAAAGCGCGCGCAGGCGGUCCCUUAAGUCUGAUGUGAAAGCCCACGGCUCAACCGUGGAGGGUCAUUGGAAACUGAGAGACUUGAGUGCAGAAGAGGAGAGUGGAAUUCCACGUGUAGCGGUGAAAUGCGUAGAUAUGUGGAGGAACACCAGUGGCGAAGGCGACUCUCUGGUCUGUAACUGACGCUGAGGCGCGAAAGCGUGGGGAGCAAACAGG
RNAcentral lists this unclassified non-coding RNA (253 nucleotides) under uncultured Bacillaceae bacterium. RNAcentral's name for it is "contains 16S-23S intergenic spacer region". It matches the Rfam family "Bacterial small subunit ribosomal RNA", at positions 524 to 776 of the family's 1533-position model. The record is from RNAcentral. Lineage: Bacteria; Bacillati; Bacillota; Bacilli; Caryophanales; Bacillaceae.